GUUCUGGGCCGCACGCGCGCUACACUGACGGAGCCAGCGAGUACAACCUUGGCCGAGAGGUCUGGGUAAUCUUGUGAAACUCCGUCGUGCUGGGGAUAGAGCAUUGUAAUUAUUGCUCUUCAACGAGGAAUUCCUAGUAAGCGCAAGUCAUCAGCUUGCGUUGAUUACGUCCCUGCCCUUUGUACACACCGCCCGUCGCUAGUACCGAUUGAAUGGCUUAGUGAGGCCUCAGGAUUUGCUUAGAGAAGGGGGCAACUCCAUCUCAGAGCGAAAAAUCUGGUCAAACUUGGUCAUUUAGAGGAACUAAAAGUCGUAACAAGGUUUCCGUAGGUGAACCUGCGGAAGGAUCAUUAAAGAUUAUGUAUGAGUAGUUUACUGGGGAAGUCACAAAGAACUUGAGCCUGCGCUUAAUUGCGCGGCCAAUUCCUGACUUUCUGCUAUCAGUAUUCUAUUUUUCAUCCUAAACACAAUGGAGUUUUUUCUCUAUAAACUACUUCCCUGGAGAACUCGUUUCUCCAGUGGACAUAAACACAAACAAUCUUUUGUAUUAUGAAAACUUAUUUAUCAAUAAAUUUAAUAUUCAAAACUUUCAACAACGGAUCUCUUGGUUCUCGCAUCGAUGAAGAACGCAGCGAAUUGCGAUAAGUAUUGUGAAUUGCAGAUUUUCGUGAAUCAUCGAAUCUUUGAACGCACAUUGCGCCCUUUGGUAUUCCAGGGGGCAUGCCUGUUUGAGCGUCAUUUCCUUCUCAAACCUCUGGGUUUGGUUGUGAGUGAUACUCUCUUCUGGGUUAACUUGAAAGGGUUAACCGUUGCCUUCUGCCCAACAAGGCUGCGUGGUCAAAUCUACAAACUCCACUUUUGGGUAUCUACCUCUUAGGUUUGCCCCAAUCCGGGUAACUAAGG
This 903-nucleotide ribosomal RNA is filed under the name Saccharomycodaceae sp. LM320. RNAcentral's name for it is "eukaryotic LSU rRNA". The stretch from base 1 to 353 matches the Rfam family "Eukaryotic small subunit ribosomal RNA", at positions 1479 to 1831 of the family's 1831-position model. Lineage: Eukaryota; Fungi; Ascomycota; Saccharomycetes; Saccharomycodales; Saccharomycodaceae. The record is from RNAcentral.